ACCGUGAGGGAAUGGUGAAAAGUACCCCGGGAGGGGAGUGAAAUAGUACCUGAAACCGUGUGCUUACAAGCCGUUGGAGCCUUUUGGGGUGACAGCGUGCCUUUUGAAGAAUGAGCCUGCGAGUUAGUGUUAUGUCGCGAGGUUAACCCGUGUGGGGUAUCCGUAGCGAAAGCGAGUCUGAAUAGGGCGUUUGAGUGGCAUGACCUAGACCCGAAGCGGAGUGAUCUAUCCAUGGCCAGGUUGAAGCGACGGUAAGACGUCGUGGAGGACCGAACCCACUUCAGUUGAAAAUGGAGGGGAUGAGCUGUGGAUAGGGGUGAAAGGCCAAUCAAACUCUGUGAUAGCUGGUUCUCCCCGAAAUGCAUUUAGGUGCAGCGUUACGUGUUUCUUGCCGGAGGUAGAGCUACUGGAUGGCCGAUGGGCCUUCACGGGUUACUGACGUCAGCUAAACUCCGAAUGCCGGUAAGUGAGAGCGUAGCAGUGAGACAGUGGGGGAUAAGCUUCAUUGUCGAGAGGGAAACAGCCCAGACCAUCAACUAAGGCCCCUAAGCGUGUGCUAAGUGGGAAAGGAUGUGGAGUUGCUGAGACAACCAGGAGGUUGGCUUAGAAGCAGCCAUCCUUGAAAGAGUGCGUAAUAGCUCACUGGUCAAGUGAUUCUGCGCCGAUAAUGUAGCGGGGCUCAAGUACACCGCCGAAGUUGUGGCAAUGAUCUUUUUGGAUUGUUGGGUAGGGGAGCGUCGUGUGGCCGUUGAAGCUGCGGUGUAAACCAGUGGUGGAGGCUAUGCGAGUGAGAAUGCAGGCAUGAGUAGCGAAAGAUGAGUGAGAAACUCAUCCGCCGGAUGAUCAAGGGUUCCAGGGUCAAGUUAAUCUGCCCUGGGUUAGUCGGGGCCUAAGGCGAGGCCGACAGGCGUAGUCGAUGGAUAACGGGUUGAUAUUCCCGUACCAGUGAAGGACCGUCCAUACUGAUAUUGUGAUGCUAACCAUGCCGAUCACGGUGUCAUGAAGUUUUUCUUUGUGGUGUUGUGGGGUGUGUGGGACCCAAGCUUUGGAGGUAAGCGUGUUAACAGGUGUGACGCAGGAAGGUAGCCAAGCCACGCGAUGGUUGUCGUGGUCUAAGCGUGUAGGGUUGUCGGUUGUUAAAUGCGCCGGCUGUGUGCCUGAGACGUGAUGGGACCCCGUUUUUGGGGGAUUUGGUGAUCCUAUGCUGCCGAGAAAAGCAUCGGCGUGAGGUUUUAGCCGCCCGUACCCUAAACCGACACAGGUGAUCAGGUAGAGAAUACUAAGGCGAUCGAGAGAAUCAUGGUUAAGGAACUCGGCAAAAUGCCCCCGUAACUUCGGGAGAAGGGGGACCUUGAGCGUGAUGGGCACUUGCUGCCUGGAGCGUGUAUGGGUCGCAGAGACCAGGGGGAAGCGACUGUUUAUCAAAAACACAGGUCCGUGCGAAGUCGUAAGACGAUGUAUACGGACUGACUCCUGCCCGGUGCUGGAAGGUUAAGAGGAUUGGUUAGCUCUUUUGGGCGAAGCUGAGAAUUUAAGCCCCAGUAAACGGCGGUGGUAACUAUAACCAUCCUAAGGUAGCGAAAUUCCUUGUCGGGUAAGUUCCGACCUGCACGAAUGGAGUAACGACUUCCCUACUGUCUCAACCAUGAACUCGGCGAAAUUGCAGUACGAGUAAAGAUGCUCGUUUCGCGCAGCAGGACGGAAAGACCCCGUGACCUUUACUAUAGUUUGGUAUUGGUGUUUGGUUUGGCUUGUGUAGGAUAGGUGGGAGACUGUGAAGCAUGGACGCUAGUUUGUGUGGAGUCGUUGUUGAAAUACCACUCUGGUCAAUCUGGAUGUCUAACUUCGGGCCAUGAUCUGGUUCAGGGACAGUGCCUGAUGGGUAGUUUAACUGGGGCGGUUGCCUCCUAAAGUGUAACGGAGGCGCCCAAAGGUUCCCUCAGCCUGGUUGGCAAUCAGGUGUUGAGUGUAAGUGCACAAGGGAGCUUGACUGUGAGACUGGCAGGUCGAGCAGGGACGAAAGUCGGGACUAGUGAUCCGGCGGUACGUUGUGGAACGGCCGUCGCUCAACGGAUAAAAGGUACCUCGGGGAUAACAGGCUGAUCUUGCCCAAGAGUCCAUAUCGACGGCAUGGUUUGGCACCUCGAUGUCGGCUCGUCGCAUCCUGGGGCUGGAGUCGGUCCCAAGGGUUGGGCUGUUCGCCCAUUAAAGCGGUACGCGAGCUGGGUUCAGAACGUCGUGAGACAGUUCGGUCCCUAUCC
Molecule: ribosomal RNA, 2261 nt
Filed under: human metagenome
Description: bacterial LSU rRNA
Rfam family: Bacterial large subunit ribosomal RNA
Source: RNAcentral